This is a long non-coding RNA of Gadus macrocephalus (Pacific cod), 1409 nucleotides long. RefSeq lists it as uncharacterized. The transcript has 4 exons. Lineage: Eukaryota; Metazoa; Chordata; Actinopteri; Gadiformes; Gadidae. The record is from RefSeq and is a predicted model, not a curated record.
UCACAGCAAAUCGCAAAGUGUUAAAAUCCCAGAGUAUUCAUGACCAGAGUAGAUUUUAUACACUUUGGUGUUGAAUAGGCACUAAGUACAUUUUUUGGGGUGUACCAGAAACACUCUUGGGUGUUGUCUCUAAGUAUAAUGCUGGUGUAGAGUAAUUUAAGUGUUUAUUUUAGGAUGAUGGACUCCCUGAGUGUACAACGGUUGAGUUUCGAUUCGUCAUUGGCUCGCUGCGCCUUCUCAUUGGUUGAAUCUAGAGACAUGUGACCGUUUGUCCUCUUCCACACUACGCAGCAAACUGUUUCGGCAGAGACGGUUGACUAGAGAGGAUCGAAUCAAUAUCGCCAAGGAAUUGCUCCGAGUGAGCGAAGACAUUUUUGAACUUCAUGGGAAUGUAAACAGGUUGGGAUAGUGACAUGGCCUCACUUCUCCUGCUGGUCUACCUCCUGCCACCACCUCCAAGUGGAAAGAAGGGAGCUGUCAAAAUCAGUAUCCGGGAAGCUGUGGAUCGUGUAGUGAAGUUUCACAGGGUAAUUGUAUCCUGAUAAUUGUUAUUUUAUUUUUAAAGGUCCCAUGGCAUGCCGCCAGAGCUUGUGUGUUGCUGAUGGAUGUCACAAUCUCUGUGUUGGCCAAUCUACUUAUCGAGUCUUGAAAACAACAUGGCGUCGACGGGUGAUCUACUGAUGGCAUUGUGUGUAUAAAAUGUACUUUUUAAUAAACAAUCUGUACACUUACAAAGUUCUCAAUGCCUCGUUUUAUAUAAAGCGUCUAUGCGUUUUUUUGUGCUCCAAAACGAACGUUUCAACUCAUUAUCAUACAAAACAUAUCCCAAAUCCGUUUUACACCGGAAUUCCCCUUUAAUUGGUUGACGGGGACACAUUUAUUUAUUUAUUUUCAAGUUGUUUGUUACAUCAUAUAAAUGUAAAACUAAAUAUGGUUCUUGAUGUAAAAUAAUUAAAGUUUAACUAUAAUGUUAACUAUAUUAUAUAUGUAUGCACUGUAACAACAACAGCAGCAAGAAUCUAAUGUGUAGACUAUUCAUUCAUGAAGUGUUGAUAAUUCACCUCAAAGGUGUUGGUUGUACACCAGUCAGAGUACAUUCUCACUCUAGAAGUAUUAAAUAAUCAGAUCUGCGAAGUGCUACAAAGCACUGACUUGGAGUACAUAUUUUCUCUCUCUGGGGUUCUAGGUUUACACUGCAGGUGUAAGGAAGCACUGAAUGAGUGCCCAAAAGUACCACUAAUAGAGUACAUUUGCACUCUCAAAGUGUUCAAAUGUAACUCUAAAUUUGGAGUACAUAUUUUGCUCUUCUAACAGUGUUCAGCGAACACUGAACUCUUGGACCUAUAUAUACCCCGAAGUGAGUGUUAAAUGUACACCCAUAGAGUACAAUGUACACUGUGGUUUUUGCU